RNA transcript from Anarrhichthys ocellatus (wolf-eel), 4743 nucleotides. It is a transcript of the gene named oligophrenin 1, with no coding region annotated. The transcript has 23 exons. NCBI's taxonomy places the organism in Eukaryota, Metazoa, Chordata, Actinopteri, Perciformes, Anarhichadidae. The record is from RefSeq and is a predicted model, not a curated record.
CUUUGAGUUACCCCUCUUUGUAAAGCUGUGGGACCUAAAGGAUGUGUAUGACACCUCAGUUUGAGAAUAUGCAUUCACCAAUGCGUAUUCAGUGAUUAAUUAUAGCGCGCGGCGAACUUUAAAAAUCAAAUGUGACUUCAAACCAAGGUAAAGGCCGGGUGAGGUUUAAGGAAAGUGGGAAAUAUUUAGGAAACGAACGCGUCCAAAUGAAUUCUAGCCGCUCUUCUAAUCACGACACCGCAACAAGGAAAAAAGUGGUAAAGAGGACCAGGACACAACUAAAUUACGGUUUCGAUAGCGCGUCUGAGGAAGAAAAAGAGGGAAGUAAAUACAACACCGUGUCCUGUCACUGUUUCGUGCACUUCACACGAGACCAGCGGCUGCUGCAAGCUCCCACGGACACCAUGAUGAGAGAGUGUGGAGUCGCUUCGACCGAGCAGCAAUGACCAGUGAGCGGUAGACGAGCGUAGGCUGCGUGGAUCACGAGAACUAACUCCGUGGCUUUAUUGUCUGAAACCCCCCGGUCGUCCAGAAGAUGGGGCAUCCUCCUCUGGAGUUCAGUGAGUGCUAUCUGGACAGCCCGGAGUUCAGGGAGACUCUCAAGUGUUAUGAAUUGGAGCUGGAGAGGACGAGCAAAUUCCUCAAAGAGUUGAUAAAAGACGGCAACAGUGUAAUCACUGCGAUCAGAGGCUAUUCUCUGGCAGUACAGAAGUUUUCCCAGACUCUCAGCAUAUUCCAGUUCGAUGUCGUCGGUGACUCCCUGACAGAUGAUGAAAUUAACAUUACUCAGUCGUUCCAGGAGUUUGCCGAACUCCUGCAGGAAGUAGAGCGCGACAGGAUGAUGCUGGUUCAGAACGCCUCCGAUCUGCUCAUCAAGCCGUUGGAGAAGUUCAGAAAGGAGCAAAUAGGAGUUACAAAAGAAAAGAAAAAGAAGUUCGAGAAGGAGAGUGAAAAAUACCACUCCCAGGUAGACAAACACCUGAAUCUCUCUGCAAAGAAGAAAGAGAGUCAACUUCAAGAGGCCGAUGAAGUCCUUGACAAAGAGCGGGUGAACUUCUAUGAAUCGUCGGUGGACUACGUGUACCAGAUCCAUCAGGUGCAGGACAGGAAGAAGUUUGACGUGGUGGAGCCGGUGCUGGCAUUUCUGCACAGCGUUCUAACGCUCAACAACCUGACUGUGGAGAUGACUCAUGACUUCAUGCCUUACAAGCAAGAACUGCAGCUCAGCUUGCAGAACACAAGAAACAACUACGAGAGCACUCGCGAGGAGAUGGAGGAGCUGAUGAGAAGAAUGAAACACCCGUCCCAGAUCUGUAAAAUGCACAGCUUUCUGCCCACGGAGGGCUAUCUGUACUGUCAUGAGAAGUGGGCUUUGGGCAUGUCGUGGGUCAAAUAUUAUUGCAAGUAUCGCAAGGAGGGGAGACAGCUGGUCAUGGUGCCUUGCGAGCAGAAGCCUAUAACUAAACAGGGCACUACGCAGCUCACACUGAAAUCCUGCAUCCGCCGGAAGACGGAGUCCAUCGACAAGCGCUUUUGCUUUGACGUGGAAACUCACGAGAGAAACACACCCGUCACUUUCCAAGCUCUUUCGGAGGCGGACAGGAAGUCGUGGAUGGAGGCCAUGGAUGGAAAAGAGCCUAUCUAUCAUUCCCCAAUUCACAAUCAAGCUGAAAUGGAACUGAAUGAAAUUGGAUUUAAGUUUGUGCGAAAGUGCAUCAACUACAUUGAAACAAAAGGAGUCACACAGGAAGGAGUGUACAGAACUGUUGGCAGCAACAUCCAAGUGCAGAAGCUAUUAAAUGCCUUCUUUGACCCCACUAACCCAGGAGAUGUGGAUCUCCAGAGCAGCGACUGGGAUGUUAAAACCAUCACAAGUGCACUGAAGUUUUAUCUAAGGAGCUUGUCUGAACCGCUGAUGACCUACAGUCUACACAGAGACCUCAUGUGUGCUGCAAAGUCAGACAAUCUGGACUUUCGACUGAGUGAGAUUCAUUCCCUUUCCCACAAGCUACCAGAGAAGAACCGGGAGAUGGUGGAGAUGCUUAUUAAACACCUGGUCAACGUGUGCAGUCACAGUGAAGAAAAUCGAAUGAUCCCUUCAAACAUGGCCGUUAUCUUUGGACCCACGCUCAUGAGAGCCAAGGAGGAGACGGUGGCGGCCAUGUUGGAUAUCAAGUUCCAAAAUAUUGUCGUUGAGAUUCUGAUUGGGGACUUCAAAAAGAUCUUCAGUUAUAUGCCAGAGGACAGCACUUCCCCACCAGUCCCUCCUCCGCGGAUCACCCCGAGAAAGAGGCAACCAAUCACAAUCUCCAAGCGGCCGCCUCGUGUUUAUCAAGCUCUUACUCCCAACCUCUUCCAGCACACAGAGAAUGGCCAGAACGACAGCUGUGUCGUGGACGGGGAAGUCUCAACGAACCCUGUUCCCUUGCAGCGGACAAGACCAGGAAGCGUUCCUCCACUCGUUCCAAGAGAACCUCCUCCAAAAUUAGCAUUGAUGCCCAGAUCAGCUAGCCGUCAGGAAAGACACUUAGACUCUGACACCGGCAAGAUAGACGACACAAGGCAAAGGCCAGAUUCUUCUUCGGCGGCCAAUGGAGAGUCUGGAGUCUAUGUGAGCAGAGUACCGUCCUUCCAGAGCAGAAGACAACCUCCCAAAGGCUCACCAGCCAACAGAGAAGGAGAUUCUGAUGGUCUGACCAGAACAAGGUCCACAGAGAAACAUGCCAUUUGUAGACCACCUGUCAGGCCUCCUGAACCCCCCUCCAGACACCCCGCUCCACAAAAGACCCCGAGUGCAGCCAGCAGCGAGGGCACAGCCUCAUCCUAUGUUGCCUCUAAAACUAAGUUUUUUGAGAAUGCCUCCAGGCACGUUGGCAGGUAUGUAGAAGCUUAUAUUUGUGUAUGUGCUCCUGUCUGUCCUUUUCUGUAGUUCAGUACACUCAUCACACACACAUGUUUUUACAGUCCUGUAGAUGACAGUUCAUAAAAAAACCCCAACUGAAGAUUAAAGUUACCCUCUUCCUUCUGAUGACGUAAAUAUGGAAGUGGAAACAUGUCUCCUCUUUUAUGAUUUGCUUGGAUGGUCCGAGUUCAGGUCCUUGCUGCCCUCCCUGCACACGCAGUGAUAAAGGCUGGAAGGGAAGAAUGCCUGAGUGGGAAGAGUUUGUAGGAGUUUUGUCAAAGAGAGUUUAUCUCUUUCAACAUUGUAUUCUAUUAAUGUUACAUAUAGACAUACAAAGAUGUCGUUUGGCCUUUUGGAAAGAAGAAGCACAGUGUGACUCAUAUAGUGAUUUAUUAUCCCACACAGCUGUAUAAUAUGAAUAUCGUGUAGAUAUAUUAAGAUCUCACAAUUAGUUGGUAGCCUCUGUUUUAACUGUUGAAUUCUUACUUCAAAAAGGAGCCAAUUAAACUGAAAGACCCUCAGUUGUUCUGAGCUUUUUGAAGCUUUUCUUUCUUUGUGUUGUUGGUAUUUGUUUGGGUGUUGAGCUAAGAUAGCAACCAUGUUUCCCCAGAAUCGAAAAUGGAUUUGUAAUUAUUUUUCUUUUCUUUUUUCUCUCUGCUAAUUUAGUCCACCCGCCUCUCCGUAAUUAUCAACAGUGACAAAAGAGAAUUAAAGUUAAGGAGCCUCGGACAACAUCAUGUGACCUCUACAUGUGCUGUUGGGUGCUGAUGAAGCUGGAGGGAGUCAUUGUCAAUGAUCUUAGCGGAUAGACUGAAGAGGUGGCUCCCCAUAUAUCAUAAUACAUAUAUUUGAUUCCAUCUUAUGUUUAAUUGUAAGAAUGAUGUUGUAAGGGAACACAUUAGCAAAUGGACUUUUGAUUGGGCUUUGAUCAUUAUUCCAAAGUUAAGAUGGCGUAACUGUACUAUUUCCCCCCUUGUUUCAUGCCAGGUGACAAUUUUGUCAACUAAUAUUACAAUAUUUAGUUAUUUUACAGUGUUAACAACUUUGAAUGGCCAAUUUUAUUAGAGGCAACAAACUGCCAUAACUUGUUAUAACCGAUUACUUAGACAUCUUGUCUACACUCUUAACACUUGUUUUUAAAUUGUAAAAUAUAUCUCCCAAAGAUGACUAAUUGAUUAAAUAGGGUUAAUCAUUAUUCAUUUGAAAACAUGAAAAAUUAGUCCCAUUAACUUCUAGAUUGUAUAUUGAACCAUGUACAGGUCUGUGAACGAGCUGGAUAAAGCUAAUUCAUGAAGCAAGUUACAUCCAUAGAAUAACUAUUUCUGUGGAAGCUGUUUUGGUUUGUUCAUUCAGAAAGAAAUUUUAGAUCAAAAUUGAAUUUGACAAAACGUGUCUUUCAGCGAUGAGUCACUUUUUAUGAGGCAUUACAAAAAUGUAUUUUGCUACCCAGUGCCGGCCUGUAUGCCAGUCAGUGUGGCUAUAAUCGACAUGAUGAAUACAAUGCUAAUGCUAGUUUAAUAGGGAGUUAUUAAAACUAGAUUCACUAGUGUACAUUCCCUCACUUCUGACCUUGGUGUCGAUCCCUCCUUACUUCAUGGAGGUAGGUCAGGUUGCACAAGAAGAAGUUUACCUGAAUUUGUUGCACCUCAAAUAAAUUACCAAAAUGGGUCACGUAAACUGACUGUUACAAUAGUUUGUGAAGAUAACACUCCGAUGUUUUGUUUUAUUUCUUUGUCUUCAAAAUCGUUCUGUUAAUUUUACACUUUUGUUUAAUAACCCAACUUGAUAAUUCUGGUCGUUGGAUUUGUUUGCAAAAAAGAAAAUAAAAGUUGUUAACAUGC